RNAcentral lists this ribosomal RNA (325 nucleotides) under uncultured eukaryote. RNAcentral describes it as "partial 18S ribosomal RNA". It matches the Rfam family "Eukaryotic small subunit ribosomal RNA", at positions 1470 to 1796 of the family's 1831-position model. The record is from RNAcentral.
CCCUUAGAUGUUCUGGGCUGCACGCGCGCUACACUGAUGCGAUCAACGAGUUUCUUCCUUUGUCGGCAGACACGGGUAACCUUUUGAACUCGCAUCGUGAUGGGGAUAGAUUAUUGUAAUUAUUAAUCUUCAACGAGGAAUUCCUAGUAGGUGCAAAUCAUCAGUUUGCAUCGAUUACGUCCCUGCCCUUUGUACACACCGCCCGUCGCUGCUACCGAUUGAGCAAUCUGGUGAAUUAUUCGGACUGGCUAUUGUUGAAGUUUCUUCGGCAUCCGCUGGAAAGUCUUGUAAACCCUAUUGCUUAGAGGAAGCAGAAGUCGUAACA